GACGAAGAACGCAGCGAAAUGCGAUAAGUAAUGUGAAUUGCAGAAUUCAGUGAAUCAUCGAAUCUUUGAACGCACAUUGCGCCCGCUAGUAUUCUGGCGGGCAUGCCUGUCCGAGCGUCAUUUCAACCCUCAAGCCCCCGGGCUUGGUGUUGGGGAUCGGCGAGCCUCCGCGCCCGCCGUCCCCUAAAUCUAGUGGCGGUCUCGCUGUAGCUUCCUCUGCGUAGUAGCACACCUCGCACUGGGAAACAGCGCGGCCACGCCGUUAAACCCCCAACUUCUGAACGUUUGACCUCGGAUCAGGUAGGAAUACCCGCUGAACUUAAGCAUAUCAAUAAGCGGAGGA
RNAcentral lists this unclassified non-coding RNA (343 nucleotides) under soil metagenome. RNAcentral describes it as "partial contains 5.8S ribosomal RNA, internal transcribed spacer 2, and large subunit ribosomal RNA". The stretch from base 1 to 120 matches the Rfam family "5.8S ribosomal RNA", at positions 35 to 154 of the family's 154-position model. The record is from RNAcentral.